This is a long non-coding RNA of Acinonyx jubatus (cheetah), 1748 nucleotides long. RefSeq lists it as uncharacterized. The transcript has 3 exons. The record is from RefSeq and is a predicted model, not a curated record. NCBI's taxonomy places the organism in Eukaryota, Metazoa, Chordata, Mammalia, Carnivora, Felidae.
UGCUCUAAGGAGGAAGUUUAGUUUUACCAAGAGAUAAAUUAAGACAUAACUAAGGAGUACUUGGGGUACCAAAGAUAAGACCCUUCCCACAAGUAUAUAAUGACUGUGAUACACUUGGUGUGUUAACAAUCAAUUGCAAGGUAAGUCACAAUAAAUUUGUUAGUAGUAAUAAAGUACUGAAAUUUGCAAGUGAUAUAUCUAAGAAUUAAUUGGAGCAGAUUCAGGUUAUCUCUAUAAUAACAUCACUUUGAUAUGUGUGCAUUUCAAUAUGCCUUCUGGGAGAGGAAGGGGGGAAAUUUUAUAGAUAGCUAUCAGACUGGCAUUAUGCUGUGAAUGUAUCAUGGAAAUAUGUCAUAAAUGUGAACAUCUGUCUUCUCUGCAAUAGUGAAGAAAAGUUGAAAACACCUGACCCAAAGAAUGUCUGACAAUGUAAAUUAUUUUUGUCACUUAGUUUCCAUUUCCCCUUCUAAUGGCAAUAGAAGGGGAUCUUAAAAUGGGGACCAUCCCCCAAAACACACACACUCCUGGGCUUGAGAUAGAAGCAACUUCACCCCUAGUUCCAGGAAUAGGUGUAGGCUCCAACAUUAGCCUCUCAAAGCUUUGCAUCCCUUUGGCUAUAGUGACUAGGAAAAAUUUUUUUUCUUUUCUUUGGCUGUGAUAACUAGCAGAAAGCAUUGAACCUUUUAUGGGAACUAUAUUUCCAAAGAAACCCCAAACCUAACAGUCUGUUUCUUUUCUAGGCUCACAGCUAAAGUUGAGUAGUCUCCAAAAAGGGCAUUUUCCUUAUGCCCACCUCUGGCAUAGGAAUGGAGAAUAAGGACCAGAAAGAUCAUCUAGUAGGAAGAGCCAGAGGUCAUGGUGGACAAUAAGGAAGAUCUUUACAGAGAACAGACCUAGAGGUUCCCAGUUGGCUGGCCAAGAAACUCACUUUACCAACAAGGAGACUCUUCUAUAUUCCUGCCGAUCAGGAUAUAAUAGAUGCUGUAGAAAAAUGACAGCUGUGUGCUAUUUUCCAUACAUUCACCCCUUUCCAGAGAUAGAAUUAUAUACUGAAGUCUCCUUAUAUCCAUGGAAUUCCCAAAAUUUACAAAGUCCUUAGUAGACAGUAAGCACUUCAUAAAUGUUGCCUGAAGAAAUGAACAAAUGAGUGAAUUAGGAUGAACUGUUUAUGUGACAGUCACUCCAAGCAAACCGGGAGCACACCAAAUAUAAGGAAUAUGUACAACCUCUAAUUUCUCUGCCUUAUAUACCUGACAGCUAAAAAACCACAGCAUGGAAUAGUAAUGGGCUGAAAUGUACAGAUUAAUGUACUGUUUUGAUAUGGCCAAUGUCAUGAAGAUGUGUUGAAGUGACCAUACUUGUUGAGUAUCCAGUGAAAUGGAUUUGUUCAGUCAUUCACAUUAAUGAGCAUUUUAUUGCAACAGACAUCAUUUCAGAUGACUAAACACUAAUGAAUAAAAUUCACUGCUUUGGAUUUUUUAAAGGCACAAAUUGCAGAGGAAAACAAUCAUUUUACUAGACUGAAAUGAAGAACUUUUCAAAGUUGAAAGAUAUAAAGAGAAUAAAGAGACAAAUGUUCACCUACAACACACACAGUAUUAGUAUCUAGAUUUCUUUUUAAAAUUCCUAAAAAUCAGGACACACGGCUGGCUCAGUCAGUUAAGUGUCUGACUCUUGGUUUUGGCUCAGGUCAUGAUCUCACAGUUCGUGUAUUUGAACCAACCAUUGGGCUCUGCAGCUGGCAGCAC